GGCUGGUCUGACGGCAGUGGGUUAUCAGAACUUACUAACAUUAGUGUCACUAAAGUUGGUACACCACCCACCCCACUGCUAAAUUAGACUGGCUUAAA
This is an unclassified non-coding RNA of Cavia porcellus (domestic guinea pig), 98 nucleotides long. It matches the Rfam family "Y RNA". From Rfam's summary of the family: Y RNAs are components of the Ro ribonucleoprotein particle (Ro RNP), in association with Ro60 and La proteins. The Y RNAs and Ro60 and La proteins are well conserved, but the function of the Ro RNP is not known. The record is from Ensembl. Lineage: Eukaryota; Metazoa; Chordata; Mammalia; Rodentia; Caviidae.